CCUACGGGUGGCAGCAGUGAGGAAUAUUGGUCAAUGGACGAGAGUCUGAACCAGCCAAGUAGCGUGAAGGAUGACUGCCCUAUGGGUUGUAAACUUCUUUUAUAAAGGAAUAAAACGAGGCACGUGUGCCUUUUUGCAUGUACUUUAUGAAUAAGGAUCGGCUAACUCCGUGCCAGCAGCCGCGGUAAUACGGAGGAUGCGAGCGUUAUCCGGAUUUAUUGGGUUUAAAGGGUGCGUAGGCGGACUGUUAAGUCAGCGGUAAAGGCCCGGGGCUCAACCCCGGCGAGCCGUUGAAACUGGCAGUCUUGAGAAGGCGAGAGGUAGGCGGAAUGCGCAGUGUAGCGGUGAAAUGCUUAGAUAUUGCGCAGAACUCCGAUUGCGAAGGCAGCAUACCGGAGGCGAUCUGACGCUGAGGCACGAAAGCGUGGGUAUCGAACAGGAUUAGAUACCCCAGUAGUC
Molecule: ribosomal RNA, 459 nt
Filed under: uncultured bacterium
Lineage: Bacteria
Description: partial 16S ribosomal RNA
Rfam family: Bacterial small subunit ribosomal RNA
Source: RNAcentral